UAUUAUUUUAUAUGUAAAAAUUAGGGCUUAGGUAUUAAAUGUUAAGAUCAUAAAAUUUAAAGAAAUUGACGGUACUUUAGUCUUUUCAGAGGAAUCUGUUCCGUAAUUGAUAAUACACGAAUUGAGGUACUUAAUUUAAAGGUUUGUAUAUCAUUGUCAUAAAAUUGUCUUUGAAAAGGUUUAUUUUUAAAAUUUAAAAAUAUAGAAGAUGUCAAAUCAGGAUGCAGCUUAUAAUUAAGAGGAAAUGGAUUACAAUAAAAUAGAUUAAAUGGAUGAAUUAUUAAAUAAAAUUAUUGAAGGUGGAUUUGAUUGUAAAUUUUGUAUUAAUUGAUAAGUUGAUUAAAGCUCUAAAGUAUGUACACAUCGCCCGUCGCUCUCAUUAUAAAUGAG
RNAcentral lists this ribosomal RNA (390 nucleotides) under Amusurgus sp. Van. Its description in RNAcentral is "partial 12S ribosomal RNA". The record is from RNAcentral. Lineage: Eukaryota; Metazoa; Arthropoda; Insecta; Orthoptera; Trigonidiidae.